Molecule: long non-coding RNA, 507 nt
Filed under: Capsicum annuum
Lineage: Eukaryota; Viridiplantae; Streptophyta; Magnoliopsida; Solanales; Solanaceae
Description: long non-coding RNA (CANN_LNC001738)
Source: RNAcentral
CCAAAUUAGGGAAAUCUUAAAAUUCUUUGCCUUUUUAUUUUUGGCUACAACAGUUACCUCCGUCCCUUUCCUAUUUUUUUGGUCAAGAAAAUAAAAGCCCCACCACCCUCACCAGAAAAACCAUCUCUGGUGAUUACAAACAACUACAAAGUCCCCCUAUUAUAAUAUUUUUCUCGAUAGGCUACCACUGCUCAAACAAACCACCCCAUUCUGCUCCACCUCUUCCUCAUCCAUCAAAUACCACCAAACUCUAUUCAACAAUCAAUAAAACAUAAAAUCUUCUCUGUCACCCUUUUUUUCACUUAUUUUUGUUACUCUGGCAAAGCCAAGAAAGUAAUGAGCUCCGGUGAACUCAACUAUCAAUACAGCAGCAAGCAUAAAUGAACCAUAAAGCUCUGAAACCAAAAAAAAACUAGAACAGUUUCAACUCCACUAGAAAUGAUGGACCAUCACUGCAUUGGUUAACUUUUCUUUUAGAUUUAACCAGACAGACCAGUGAACUCCGAC